This 441-nucleotide ribosomal RNA is filed under the name uncultured bacterium. RNAcentral describes it as "partial 16S ribosomal RNA". It matches the Rfam family "Bacterial small subunit ribosomal RNA", at positions 338 to 795 of the family's 1533-position model. The record is from RNAcentral.
CCUACGGGUGGCUGCAGUGGGGAAUAUUGCACAAUGGGGGAAACCCUGAUGCAGCGACGCCGCGUGAGUGACGGGGUAUUUCGGUGUGUAGAGCUCUAUCAGCAGGGAAGAAGAAAGACGGUACCUGACUAAGAAGCCCCGGCUAACUACGUGCCAGCAGCCGCGGUAAUACGUAGGGGGCAAGCGUUAUCCGGAUUUACUGGGUGUAAAGGGAGCGUAGACGGCUGUGCAAGUCUGAAGUGAAAGCCCAGGGCUCAACCCUGGGACUGCUUUGGAAACUGUGGAGCUAGAGUGCUGGAGAGGUAAGUGGAAUUCCUAGUGUAGCGGUGAAAUGCGUAGAUAUUAGGAAGAACACCAGUGGCGAAGGCGGCUUUCUGGACUGAAACUGACGCUGAGGCACGAAAGCGUGGGGAGCGAACAGGAUUAGAUACCCUAGUAGUC